UACGUAGGUGGCAAGCGUUGUCAGGAUUUACUGGGCGUAAAGAGCGCGCAGGCGGUCGGUCAAGUCGAGUGUGAAAGCCCCCGGCUCAACUGGGGAGGGUCACUCGAAACUGAUCGACUCGAAGGCGGGAGAGGGAAGCGGAAUUCCCGGUGUAGUGGUGAAAUGCGUAGAUAUCGGGAGGAACACCAGUGGCGAAGGCGGCUUCCUGGCCCGUUCUUGACGCUGAGGCGCGAAAGCUAGGGGAGCGAACGGG
This 253-nucleotide ribosomal RNA is filed under the name uncultured bacterium. RNAcentral describes it as "partial 16S ribosomal RNA". It matches the Rfam family "Bacterial small subunit ribosomal RNA", at positions 524 to 776 of the family's 1533-position model. The record is from RNAcentral.